RNAcentral lists this ribosomal RNA (429 nucleotides) under Chloroflexota bacterium. RNAcentral's name for it is "Chloroflexi bacterium partial 16S ribosomal RNA". It matches the Rfam family "Bacterial small subunit ribosomal RNA", at positions 355 to 776 of the family's 1533-position model. The record is from RNAcentral. Lineage: Bacteria; Bacillati; Chloroflexota.
UAGGGAAUCUUCGGCAAUGGACGAAAGUCUGACCGAGCAACGCCGCGUGAGUGAAGAAGGUUUUCGGAUCGUAAAACUCCGUUGUUAGAGAAGAACAAGGACGUUAGUAACUGAACGUCCCCUGACGGUAUCUAACCAGAAAGCCACGGCUAACUACGUGCCAGCAGCCGCGGUAAUACGUAGGUGGCAAGCGUUUUCCGGAUUUAUUGGGCGUAAAGCGAGCGCGGGCGGUUUCUUAAGUCGGAUGUGAAAGCCCCCGGCUCAACCGGGGAGGGUCAUUGGAAACUGGGAGACUUGAAUGCAGAAGAGGAGAGUGGAAUUCCAUGUGUAGCGGUGAAAUGCGUAGAUAUAUGGAGGAACACCAGUGGCGAAGACGGCUAUCUGGUCUGUAACUAACGCUGAGGCUCGAAAGCGUGGGAAGCAAACGGG